AGGUCUUGUGGACGAAGACUUAUGGACAGGUGCAAAACAUAAAUCCUCUUCUGCAACCCAGAACUUAUUGUUCAGUAUGAGUUUUGAUACAUGUAAGAAGGGAUAUU
Molecule: small nucleolar RNA, 107 nt
Filed under: Gorilla gorilla gorilla (western lowland gorilla)
Lineage: Eukaryota; Metazoa; Chordata; Mammalia; Primates; Hominidae
Description: Small nucleolar RNA SNORA40 (ENSGGOG00000035115.2)
Rfam family: Small nucleolar RNA SNORA40
About the family: The snoRNA ACA 40 belongs to the H/ACA family of snoRNAs and guides the pseudouridylation of 28S rRNA subunit at position U4565. NB This family has a high threshold value to exclude a large number of closely related sequences that do not appear to have conserved H and ACA boxes, and may be pseudogenes.
Source: Rfam by way of RNAcentral